UAGGGAAUUUUCCGCAAUGGGCGAAAGCCUGACGGAGCAACGCCGCGUGAGUGAUGAAGGUCUUCGGAUCGUAAAACUCUGUUAUUAGGGAAGAACAAAUGUGUAAGUAACUAUGCACGUCUUGACGGUACCUAAUCAGAAAGCCACGGCUAACUACGUGCCAGCAGCCGCGGUAAUACGUAGGUGGCAAGCGUUAUCUGGGAUGAUUGGGCGUAAAGCGCGCGUAGGCGGUUUUUUAAGUGUGAUGUGAAAGGCCACGGCUCAACCGGGGAGGGUCAUUGGAAGCGGGGGAACUGGAGUGCAGAAGAGGAAGGGGGAAUUCCGGGUGGGGCGGGGAAAUGUGCAGGGGUGUGGGGGAACACCGGUGGGGAAGGCGACUUUCUGGUCUGUAAGUGACGCUGAUGGGCGAAAGCGGGGGGAUCAAACAGG
This 429-nucleotide ribosomal RNA is filed under the name Actinomycetes bacterium. Its description in RNAcentral is "Actinobacteria bacterium partial 16S ribosomal RNA". It matches the Rfam family "Bacterial small subunit ribosomal RNA", at positions 355 to 776 of the family's 1533-position model. Lineage: Bacteria; Bacillati; Actinomycetota; Actinomycetes. The record is from RNAcentral.